Molecule: long non-coding RNA, 405 nt
Organism: Populus euphratica (Euphrates poplar)
Lineage: Eukaryota; Viridiplantae; Streptophyta; Magnoliopsida; Malpighiales; Salicaceae
Exons: 2
Source: RefSeq, a predicted model, not a curated record
GCCUAAACCCCAGAAAUCAACAAGUGACAUGUGACCUUCAUGUACGUAUAGCUGUCUAGAUUGAGAGGGGGAAAAGUCCUCAAGGAAAUGGUAUAAAAAACAGUAGCCAAGAAAAAUAAAUCCCACGGAAUUCCAUUAUUACUGCACAUCUUUAUAUUCUGCUUGUGAUAUGAUUUUCCCGCAGCAAAGUUACAAGGAAGCCACCAUCCUCUUAAUCACCAUAACUAAAUCUAACAUUAAAGAGGAGGGCAAAGGAUAAAAACAGAAAAGCAGGAUGGGAAACGGCUAAUAGCAUUCUUAAAUUACGAGAGAUAACCCCCAAAAAAAAAAUGUUGCUGUGAAGCUGCUGCAUAAAAGAUGAGAGGUUGAUCAUUUAUAUGGCAUACGAAAGGCUCUUAAUUUCUU